This 357-nucleotide long non-coding RNA is filed under the name Capsicum annuum. RNAcentral describes it as "long non-coding RNA (CANN_LNC015231)". Lineage: Eukaryota; Viridiplantae; Streptophyta; Magnoliopsida; Solanales; Solanaceae. The record is from RNAcentral.
AAGAAAGGAAAAGGGAAGAAGGUGUAGGCUUAGGAAUGAAAGAAUUAGAGAAAUUAGACGAAGAAGAAGAAGAAAAGCACCAUAUACAUUAUGAAAUUUGUUGUUACUUUAAACCCUGUAACGACCCCCCCAAGAUGAAGAAGUUGUGAAAAUUGGUUGCUAGUAGUUCAAAAAAGUAAGUCGGUCAAUCUUCAAGGAAGAGAAAAAAAAAAGAAAUACAUCACGACCCCAUCUAUCUAAGGUUAUGUAUUGUGUAAAGCAUUGCAGGUUAUGUAUAUAUUAUAUAUUUACAUAACAUUUGUUAUGUAUAUUAAUCAUGUUUGGUAUUUUUAGCAUAUAUACAUAACAUUAGUUAUG